UAGGGAAUCUUCGGCAAUGGACGAAAGUCUGCCCGAGCAACGCCGCGUGUGUGAAGAAGGUUUUCGGUUCGUAAAACUCUGUUGUUAGAGAAGAACAAGGACGUUAGUAACUGAACGUCCCCUGACGGUAUCUAACCAGAAAGCCACGGCUAUCUACGUGCCAGCAGCCGCGGUAAUACGUAGGUGGCAAGCGUUGUCCGGAUUUAUUGAGCGUAAAGCGAGCGCAGGCGGUUUCUUAAGUCAGAUGUGAAAGCCCCCGGCUCAACCGGGGAGGGUCAUUGGAAACUGGGAGACGUGAGUGCAGAAGAGGAGAGUGGAAUUCCAUGUGUAGCGGUGAAAUGCGUAGAUAGAUGGAGGAAAAACAGUGGCGAAGGCGGCUCUCUGGUCUGUAACUGACGCUGCGGCUCGAAAGAGUGGGGAGCAAACAGG
This 429-nucleotide ribosomal RNA is filed under the name Chloroflexota bacterium. RNAcentral describes it as "Chloroflexi bacterium partial 16S ribosomal RNA". It matches the Rfam family "Bacterial small subunit ribosomal RNA", at positions 355 to 776 of the family's 1533-position model. The record is from RNAcentral. Lineage: Bacteria; Bacillati; Chloroflexota.